CGGAGGGUGCAAGCGUUAUCCGGAUUCACUGGGUUUAAAGGGUGCGUAGGCGGGCAGGUAAGUCAGUGGUGAAAUCUCAGAGCUUAACUCUGAAACUGCCAUUGAUACUAUCUGUCUUGAAUGUUCUGGAGGUGAGCGGAAUAUGUCAUGUAGCGGUGAAAUGCUUAGAUAUGACAUAGAACACCAAUUGCGUAGGCAGCUCACUACGGAAAUAUUGACGCUGAGGCACGAAAGCGUGAGGAUCAAACAGGAUUAGAUACCCUGGUAGUUCACGCCCUAAACGAUGGAUACUCGACAUACGCGAUACACAGUGUGUGUCUGAGCGAAAGCAUUAAGUAUCCCACCUGGGAAGUACGACCGCAAGGUUG
Molecule: ribosomal RNA, 368 nt
Filed under: uncultured organism
Description: bacterial SSU rRNA
Rfam family: Bacterial small subunit ribosomal RNA
Source: RNAcentral